UCCAAUUGUUCUUUGAAGGCGAACCCAAA
RNAcentral lists this non-coding RNA (29 nucleotides) under Mus musculus (house mouse). The record is from RNAcentral. Lineage: Eukaryota; Metazoa; Chordata; Mammalia; Rodentia; Muridae.